Molecule: unclassified non-coding RNA, 302 nt
Filed under: uncultured Sebacinaceae
Lineage: Eukaryota; Fungi; Basidiomycota; Agaricomycetes; Sebacinales; Sebacinaceae
Description: sequence contains ITS2
Source: RNAcentral
AACGCACCUUGCACCCUUUGGUAUUCCGAAGGGUACGCCCGUUUGAGUGUCAUUGUAAUCUCACACCCCAAGAUUCUUGUCGAGGGGAUAGUGGAUCUGGAUGCUGCCGUGUAACGACGGCUCAUCCGAAAUACAUGAGUGUAACCUGCGGAUCAGUGUUAUCUGACGUGAUAAGCAUCUUCGUCGGAGUCGAGGGAAACCAACCUUGGCACUGUGUCUGUGGGCUCUAUGCUGCAAACCGUCCUCGGACAAACCUUUGACAAUUUGGCCUCAGAUCGGGUGGGACUACCCGCUGAACUUAA